ACGCUGGCGGCAUGCCUAACACAUGCAAGUCGAACGAGACCUUCGGGUCUAGUGGCGCACGGGUGCGUAAACGCGUGGGAAAUCUGCCUUUGGGUUCGGAAUAACAGUGAGAAAUUACUGCUAAUACCGGAUGAUGUCUUCGGACCAAAGAUUUAUCGCCCAAAGAUGAGCCCGCGUAAGAUUAGCUAGUUGGUGAGGUAAAGGCUCACCAAGGCGACGAUCUUUAGCUGGUCUGAGAGGAUGAUCAGCCACACUGGGACUGAGACACGGCCCAGACUCCUACGGGAGGCAGCAGUGGGGAAUAUUGGACAAUGGGCGAAAGCCUGAUCCAGCAAUGCCGCGUGAGUGAUGAAGGCCUUAGGGUUGUAAAGCUCUUUUACCAGGGAUGAUAAUGACAGUACCUGGAGAAUAAGCUCCGGCUAACUCCGUG
Molecule: ribosomal RNA, 430 nt
Filed under: uncultured bacterium
Lineage: Bacteria
Description: bacterial SSU rRNA
Rfam family: Bacterial small subunit ribosomal RNA
Source: RNAcentral